CCUACGGGAGGCAGCAGUGAGGAAUAUUGGUCAAUGGUCGUACGUCUGACCCAGCCAUGUAGCGUGCAGGAUGACGGCUCUAUGAGUUGUAAACUGCUUUUGUACGAGGGUAAACUCCGUUACGUGUAUUGGUUUUUAAGUAUCGUAUGACUAAGGACCGGCUAAUUCCGUGCCAGCAGCCGCGGUAAUACGGAGGCUCCGCGCGUUAUCCGGAUUUAUUGGGUUUAAAGGGUGCGUAGGCGGGUUGAUAAGUGAGAGGUGAAAUACCGGGGCUCAACCACGGAACUGCCUCUAAUACUGGUGAGCUAGAGAGUAGUGGCGGUAGGCGGAAUUCAUGGUGUAGCGGUGAAAUGCUUAGAGAUCACACAGAACACCGAUUGCGAAGGCAGCAUACGAAAGUAUAGCUGACGUUGAGGCACGAAGGCGUGGGUAGCGAACAGGAGUAGAUACCCUAGUAGUC
RNAcentral lists this ribosomal RNA (460 nucleotides) under uncultured bacterium. RNAcentral's name for it is "partial 16S ribosomal RNA". It matches the Rfam family "Bacterial small subunit ribosomal RNA", at positions 338 to 795 of the family's 1533-position model. The record is from RNAcentral.